RNAcentral lists this long non-coding RNA (3038 nucleotides) under Triticum aestivum (bread wheat). Its description in RNAcentral is "long non-coding RNA (TAES_LNC005611)". The record is from RNAcentral. Lineage: Eukaryota; Viridiplantae; Streptophyta; Magnoliopsida; Poales; Poaceae.
UGGGACAUUCAGUUCGUUGCUUUCCAUCUCUAGAGAGCACGCCUCAUUCUGAUUGUUUAGUUUGAAUUAGCACAUUGAGGACAAAACAUCUCUUUUGGUUCCAUCUACUGCAGAACCUACUGGACAGAACAAAGUCGAGGGAAGAAGUAUGCGAGUCAAGUAUCCGUGAUGACCAACUGAUGAAAAUCACAUUUGAGUGGCCCAGUCGUUUGAUCUGCUCCAACACUACCGUUCCGGCUUUCAGAUUGAGUAACCUGUACCCACGUCUACUGCAAACCUACUAGACAGAAUAAAAUCGAGGGAAUAAGUAUAUAAACUCUUUAGUUAAUCAAGAUGAAUAGAUUUGCCUAUCCGCAGACAGCUCUGAAUCAGUUUUUACCCUUUCUUUUCUAGAAAGAUAAGAACAAUACCCAGUACGAUCCUCUUCUUCUGUACCAGCUUCACUGAGGAGCCAAUUAGUACAAAAAUGUCUUUUGAAUUUCAUAGUUUUGGUCAUGAUGCCAUCAUACCGCAUGCAUGGUGCUUAUGCAACUAUAAGUCUAUAACUACAGAAAUGUACCUUUCUUUGCCUACAGCUAAAUAUGACCCGUCUUAGAUGGUUUGGAAGAACUAAUAUAUGUACUCUCCCUUUUGCCUACUUUUGGGUAUGAAUAGUUCAACUGAUUUUUGGUGAUUCAGAUUAUAGUAUCCAGCUUUCCUGGCUCUAUUUUGUGCAUCUAAAUUUUUUGUGUGCAAAAAUGUUCCUGAAAAGACAUGAGUUGUAUAGUUCAGCAUCCUGCUUUGUGGUAGGUUGAUAAUAUUCCAUUUUUAUGAUUACCCUGCUUUAGAUUAUUCUUGUGUGCCUUGUGCAGCCUUUCCAUUCUAGGCAUCAUUUCUCAAUUGUUUGGGGUCCAAUUCUACAAAUGCUUGGAUGUGUUGGUUCGGCCUUCUGUUAAUCUCCAGAUGAUAGGUGAGGCAGGCAAGUUAAUUCUCUGGUUUCUCAUGAUACUUCUAAAAUCUAUUGCAUAGUAGGAUACGUGCCUGAAAUGUGUGCACACUUACAAUUUCGGUUGUUGUGGAGUUAAAUUAUAAAUUGAUUUGACACGAUAGAUAUAUAUAGAAAAAGCUUUCAACCAAGCAGACUAUUCUUUUAGUAUAUAAAUAGUAUGGCUAUAUACACUGAGUGCAAAAGCUAUUUGUUUGCCACUUAAGCUUAUAUAUUUUCUUUAGCUAUCGUCCUUUGACAUUUUCUUUAUGCAAUGGUUGGUUGAUCAAGCCGAGGACUUCCCUGCGGUGCUUGGUUGGACCAUGUUUCAUUCAGCUAAUAAAAUAGUAUAUAUGUGUGUGUGAUUGCUUCAUCAAUUUUCAGAAACAUUUGUUGCCCAGUAGCUUCCAAAUAGCAGUUUAGCUUUCUUUGUUGCACCUAUAUACUUGCACCUUACAACAACCAUCAUGUUCGCAAAUCGUCUCUAUGAAUGUCCUUUCUUUACUCAUUUAGGACUUAUGAGUUGAUUAAUAUGUCACUCUCAAUAAAGUGUUUUCUUUAAAUGAGGAAUGACAUAUAUAAUUGGUUCUAUUAUAGUAGCUAGCAUUCAUCUUUUCCAAAUAAAUUGUACUGCCUUUUGCUUUAUCUCUUGGUAUAUUUUUCAUUGCUAACAAUUGAUCUGUAGAGAUGCUAUUCUGUCAAGAUUUUCUGCUAUCAAAUAAUUCAUGGCCAGCUACAAUGUUUACCCUUUUAUGUAACUAUUGAGACCCUCUCAGCUGUGCGAUAUAAUCUCAGCUCUCAGGCGCUAGAUUAUGUAUGUACUUGCCUCUCGUUAUGGCACUCACAAUGCUUCAUGUUUGUUUACCUUUCUCAUUUCUGUGCUGUCCUGUAAUAAAACAAGAUAUUUACUCAAAUCCUUGCAGGAAUAACUAAGCCUUUCAAGGAUGUUGCUUGAAGAUGGAGGGAUCUUUCCCUACAAGUUUGUUCUUUUUGUUGUUACAGCAAAGACUACUUCCUGGGUUGUCGAGGUGAGUUGUAUGAUGUAAGCACUUAUGGAGGAGAAAAAAUUACUUAGAAUUUGACUUCUCCUGCAUUUAUAGGCUAAUCAAGUGACCUUUUGUCAACUUUUAUGCAAUCUGGCUCUCCAAAUUUUGUGCUUGCUCUGAACUCUCAAAAUUUGUGCUUUGCUGUCCUGUGUUGAUUAGUCAAAUCCUGGUUUUGUCUUAAAGACUAUACCCAGCCAUGUCCUAGGUUUUUCAUUUUGUAUGAAUUUCAUGUUUCCCUGGAAUAUGAGAAUACACCAACUGGAAGAACUGUUGAGCAACACAUUUUCAUGGGAUUUUAUAUGUUGUGAUGUCUGAUUUUUGUCUCUCUUCCAGUUUACAUAGAGAAGCCUCGGUAAGUACUCAAGAAUUUUGUUUUCGUCUAUAUUGACAGACUUUAGGUAUUUUUUUAGAAUGGUUCUGAAACGAGGUCACUCCUACUGAUCUUGCUCUUCGUGUCCGGUGGCAGGAUGCUAGGUCAAGAAUGCAGGGUGGGCGAAAGAAAAUUGUGAAUGCUUUUAUCUCCGUGGUCAUUUGGAGCAUAUGGAGGGACAAGAUAGCGGGCUUUAAUAGUGUCUUCGCGCUGCUCCAGAGAGUCAUCGAUCCUGAUACUAGGCAGUAGGCUGGUGUGAGCUUGGGUCAUUUGAUCAUCCCCGAUUGUGUAAAGACUCCUCUGGAAUAUAUGCAAUCCUAUUGCAUGGUUUAAAAAAGAAUGAUUCUGAAACGGGUGUAAAGCAGUGUACGUGCUUGGCCACAGCUAAACCUACUAAUAUAUGGAAUUUUUUUCAAAGCACACAUGGUGUUAGUGGGUCUCUGCUCCAGUUGGCGCAACGGGUGGUAUCAUGCCCAUGCCUAUAUGACACGAUAUACUUCUUUGUAAUGUAAUCAGUUGUGCAUGUCAAUGGAAGUGGUUUAAAGCAUGUAAGCUGAUGCAUCUUGUGCUUGCUUGUCACUAUUUGUACUAGGCAAGGUCUGCAAUAGAUUAUAUAUUCAUUCAAACAUGUACUUGGUUUGCUUCCUUUUCCUGCUUG